CUUGUAGUACAACCCACGCAAUAUCAAAAAAUUGGGUCAAUUUAAUUUUUGAAUCUCAAUUCUUAAAACAAAGGUCCUUAUUUAACAAGAUUGACCCAAGUCUCAAAGGAAGCCCAAAAACAUAAAAUUAACCUAAUUUCACAAAUCCUAGCAAUCCUCAUUAUCACCCACACCACCCAUUUUUGAUGAUGGCACCAACUAUGACGACCCCAAAAGAGGUCGCUACAGUUGUCGCCACAGUU
This 242-nucleotide long non-coding RNA is filed under the name Olea europaea (common olive). RNAcentral describes it as "long non-coding RNA (OEUR_LNC015242)". Lineage: Eukaryota; Viridiplantae; Streptophyta; Magnoliopsida; Lamiales; Oleaceae. The record is from RNAcentral.